Molecule: ribosomal RNA, 253 nt
Filed under: uncultured bacterium
Lineage: Bacteria
Description: partial 16S ribosomal RNA
Rfam family: Bacterial small subunit ribosomal RNA
Source: RNAcentral
UACAGAGGGUGCAAGCGUUAAUCGGAAUUACUGGGCGUAAAGCGUGCGUAGGCGGUUAAACCAGUCAAAUGUGAAAGCCCCGGGCUUAACCUGGGAACUGCAUUUGAUACUGUUUAACUAGAGUAUGGUAGAGGAAAGUGGAAUUUCCGGUGUAGCGGUGAAAUGCGUAGAUAUCGGAAGGAACACCAGUGGCGAAGGCGACUUUCUGGACCAAUACUGACGCUGAGGUACGAAAGCGUGGGGAGCAAACAGG